GCUUACGCCAUACCACCCUGAACACGCCCGAUCUCGUCCGAUCUCGGAAGCUAAGCAGGGUCGGGCCUGGUUAGUACUUGGAUGGGACCGCCUGGAAUACCAGGUGCUGUAAGCU
Molecule: ribosomal RNA, 115 nt
Filed under: Labrus bergylta (ballan wrasse)
Lineage: Eukaryota; Metazoa; Chordata; Actinopteri; Labriformes; Labridae
Source: RNAcentral